GCUCUAGACCUCUGUGCUGGGAAACACCUAGAAGAGGAAACACAGAAAGAAAAAUUAAAAUCAGAACAAAGACAAAUUAAAAAAAAAAGAAGCCCAGCAGAUUGCAUCGUGGCUGCAGAUGGAAGAGCAGAGAAAUAACAACUUCAUAAUAGCUUUCUACUGGACAUGAUCUUCAUUUGAGGGGAGGUGACUUUUAUCCCUGCUUAUGCAGAUGGAGAGUUGAAGCACCUUUCCAUGGAAACACCACAGCCAUUUAAGAGAAUGUCCUAAAGGAAAAGGAGGAAGCAUUUGUGGCAAAUGCUGUCCAUUAAUUUGCCUGAUCUUCUCCUUUCAAGAGGAAUAAUCACCAAUGAGAAGCAGUGAAAACUGCAGAUGGCAGAGCAGAUGACAUUUAUGUGAGAGGUAUUUUCCGUACUGACUGGGUGCUUUAAAUUCAUACACAGAAGAAA
Grus americana (Whooping crane) is the source of this 449-nucleotide long non-coding RNA. RefSeq lists it as uncharacterized. NCBI's taxonomy places the organism in Eukaryota, Metazoa, Chordata, Aves, Gruiformes, Gruidae. The record is from RefSeq and is a predicted model, not a curated record. The transcript is spliced from 4 exons.